ACAAAUACAACAGAAAAACGCUGCAUAUACAGAAAUGAUGCAAACUAAAUACAACACACAAACCCCGAAAACAAACGCAACAAGAAAACGCUGCACGAUAUGCAAAGUCCAAAGCACGUACAAAUCCCAAAACACAUUUAAAAAAAAACAUUCCGGAAGUGCUCCAGGCCUCUAGGGGGCGCGCUACGUGGAACAGAUUGAUGUAAUACCAGACAUAGAGAGAACGAACAAGAGUGAUGGAAAUCGGGAGGAAAUAAAGUUCUUAUAAUAAAGAUAUAAGAAGGCCGCCAUGUUUUGUCCUUUCUGUGGCCAACAUCUGGGGACAGUUCAAGUGUUUUGUGGCUCCUGUAGCAAAAUUGUACAGUUUUUGGCAGAAGUUGAACACAACAGCAUUCCAUAAGGAGGGUCAGGAACUCACGCUUGGGACCACCAGUGUCCUCUCCAUCCUCAGUGUGUCCCUCAUCAUCAGUGAACUUAACUGACAUCUCAUGAGAGGGAUCGAAUGAGGCACCUUUGAAGCCGCGGAUUGCUCCAUCCCAUACAUUGGCUCUAUUAAUAUUGAACCUGCUGCAAGAUGUAUUUGUUCUUUUUGCAGAGAGUUCUGCAACAAUGUGUGCCGCAGUCAGGUAUUCUGUGCUGGGAAAGACAAAGUGGUGUAUUGGAAUAUUAAAUGAUGAAGCUAGUAAUAAGAUUUACAGUAUAGAAUAGACAACUUAAGUGGUAAUAGUAACAAUUAAUAUCUUUGCUCCAUUUUGUCUUCUGGCUCAGACUGGCUAUCAAUAAGGAUAAGUGCAUACACAUUUGUGUAGUUGCUGCAGUGAGAAGACAGUUGAAUAAUUAUUUUCAAAUACAUAAUAUAUGCAUGACAGUCAUAUUUACAAAAGGAUGUCGAUCCUCUUCCUGUUUUUUUUCCCAUACAUUGGCUUCUAAACUGACAACAGCACUUUUGUCAUACUCCUGCACAACCUUGUAAACAUUUGAAAUGGAUGCAAGAAACAAUAUCUGAUCUUUGAAAAAUAUUUGUGGGUGUUUUUUGUAUCGUCUUCACUAAGAUGUCAGAUGUUGUGGGUGUCAUUUGGAAAUGUAUGAAAGUAUAAUUGUUCUGCUUCCUGGCAAUGUUACCCACUGUGAUUGGAGGCUAUACAAACAAACAUGUAAAAUAAAGAUACACACCACACAACUGUGUCACGAUGCAACUGUCAACAUCGUCUACCUAUAGAAGUGGUUCUGACCCGGGGCAGACUGGGCCUCUUCCUGGAAUGGGGUUGGUGCUCCAUCCUAUUUUUACCCAGGAAACAAGUGCACACAAAGGCAUUUAUUGAUUUCAUGUUCACAAAUUCAAACCUACAUGGUAUAAUUACAUUUGUAAUUAGUCUUACCCGAUCAGACGCUGGUUGUGGGUACCUGAGAGGUCUGAUAAAGGUAAACAACAAAUAUAUUCAAACUACUG
Molecule: long non-coding RNA, 1450 nt
Organism: Gymnodraco acuticeps
Lineage: Eukaryota; Metazoa; Chordata; Actinopteri; Perciformes; Bathydraconidae
Exons: 3
Source: RefSeq, a predicted model, not a curated record